This is a long non-coding RNA of Selaginella moellendorffii, 664 nucleotides long. RefSeq lists it as uncharacterized. The record is from RefSeq and is a predicted model, not a curated record. Lineage: Eukaryota; Viridiplantae; Streptophyta; Lycopodiopsida; Selaginellales; Selaginellaceae. The transcript has 3 exons.
CUGUGUGUGUCGUCAUCUUCUAAGAUGUAUCCUAAGUUGAUGUUCGUUUCCUUUAGUAACACGUCGGUGGCACCUGAAAGACUCCACACUUGGAGCCGAAACUCUACUAGUCUCUGUUGGAGGUAAUUCUCUCGCUGCUGCUGCUGCUGCAUGCUUUCUUCGAGCAGUUUAGAAGCUGGGAAAAUCACACCGCGUGUAAACACGGGAACGUAGCAAAAUACCAUGCAAAGUUACCAAGGUCGGUGUUGUUUCUCACAUUCCUGGAUUGUUGAUCAGCAUUUUUCCUAGACAGACAAACAUAUUGUGCCAAACAUACAAAAAGUCUCCAUGUGAUCCGAGCUUACUUGUCGGUGUAUUUUACUUUGUCACGGUAAGGCUUGACCAGAACACGAGCUCCGCAAACAUAGUGGGGAUUGCCUUCGGCCAGAAUGGUCUUGACAGUUUCUGCAUGGAUGAAGGUUACGAAUCCAAACAUACGCUUCUGCUGAUAAGGGAUUCGUACGUCCUGAACAGGACCAUAAGCGCUGGCAAGCAAGCAACAAGGCAGCUACAUGAGAGUGAAAGCGCUCUCAGCAGGGAACGUCAAAUAUAUCUGACGAGAGCUGGGACUUACGAUGCCAUUAUGAUCAUAAUUAUCUCCACGAUGAGCCGCAACCGCAAGCCU